Molecule: ribosomal RNA, 254 nt
Filed under: uncultured bacterium
Lineage: Bacteria
Description: partial 16S ribosomal RNA
Rfam family: Bacterial small subunit ribosomal RNA
Source: RNAcentral
UACGUAGGGGGCAAGCGUUGUCCGGAUUUAUUGGGCGUAAAACGCUCGUAGGUGGCCACGUCAAGUCGGAUGUGAAAUCUCCCGGCUCAACUGGGAGGGGUCAUUCGAUACUGGCGGGCUCGAGGCCGGUAGGGGGAAGCGGAAUUCCGGGUGUAGUGGUGGAAUGCGUAGAUAUCGGAAGGAACAUCAGUGGCGAAAGCGGCUUCCUGGUCCAGCACCGACGUUCAGGCACGAAAGCGUGGGGAGCAAACAGG